Molecule: ribosomal RNA, 466 nt
Filed under: Vreelandella stevensii
Lineage: Bacteria; Pseudomonadati; Pseudomonadota; Gammaproteobacteria; Oceanospirillales; Halomonadaceae
Description: partial 16S ribosomal RNA
Rfam family: Bacterial small subunit ribosomal RNA
Source: RNAcentral
CCUACGGGUGGCUUCAGUGGGGAAUAUUGGACAAUGGGCGAAAGCCUGAUCCAGCCAUGCCGCGUGUGUGAAGAAGGCCUUCGGGUUGUAAAGCGCUUUCAGUGGGGAAGAAAGCCUUGGGGCUAAUACCCUCGAGGAAGGACAUCACCCACAGAAGAAGCACCGGCUAACUCCGUGCCAGCAGCCGCGGUAAUACGGGAGGGUGCGAGCGUUAAUCGGAAUUACUGGGCGUAAAGCGCGCGUAGGCGGUCUGAUAAGCCGGUUGUGAAAGCCCCGGGCUCAACCUGGGAACGGCAUCCGGAACUGUCAGGCUAGAGUGCAGGAGAGGAAGGUAGAAUUCCCGGUGUAGCGGUGAAAUGCGUAGAGAGCGGGAGGAAUACCAGUGGCGAAGGCGGCCUUCUGGACUGACACUGACGCUGAGGUGCGAAAGCGUGGGUAGCAAACAGGAUUAGAUACCCCAGUAGUC